AAAUCAGGUCGCAAUUAUAGUGCUUCAUUUUCUGGGGCACUGCCAUUAUCCCGCUGAAAGAAUACCCGUGUUAAUCAUUUUUGAUUUUGCCUUUAGGAGGGUGAAUUAAUGACAGAAUGACAUGGACAGUU
This is a small nucleolar RNA of Propithecus coquereli (Coquerel's sifaka), 131 nucleotides long. Lineage: Eukaryota; Metazoa; Chordata; Mammalia; Primates; Indriidae. The record is from Ensembl.